RNAcentral lists this ribosomal RNA (810 nucleotides) under Elphidium macellum. Its description in RNAcentral is "SSU rRNA". It matches the Rfam family "Eukaryotic small subunit ribosomal RNA", at positions 1177 to 1801 of the family's 1831-position model. Lineage: Eukaryota; Foraminifera; Rotaliida; Elphidiidae. The record is from RNAcentral.
UGGAGCAUGUGGCUUAAUUUGACUCAACGCGGGAAAUCUUACCGGGUCCGGACACACUGAGGAUUGACAGACAUUUAUAUACCGUAACAAGUAUAUAUUUAAAGAUGCUAGUUCUUUCAUGAUUAUGUGAUAGGUGGUGCAUGGCCGUUCUUAGUUCGUGGAGUGAUCUGUCUGCUUAAUUGCGUUUCAUAUUAUUAUAUAAUAUACACACAUCACGUGUGUUAUAUUAUUACUUUGAAAGCAACGAACGUGACCGUAGCCUUUUAUUAUAUACGCUACACGUAUAUUAAUUAAAGGGACCGCUGUAUCUUUCUUUAAACCAGAGUAAGGUUACGGCAAUAACAGGUCUGUGAUGCCCUUCGAUGUUCCGGGCUGCACACGUGCUACAAUGAUUAUUUCAUUAAGUAUCUACUGUGCAAUAAUAUAUUAUUAUUAUUCAAAAACCUACUCUGAGAAUGAGCGGGUAAUCAAUUAGAAGUAAUGAUUUCCAAAUUUAUACACUCAUGUAUACCGUAUAUAUUAUCCCAUAUUUUAAUUAAUAUGCGUGUAUAAUAUUGUACGCUGUACGUAUAUUUAUUAAUUCAUGGUGGGGAUAGACUAUUGUUAAAUGUUGGUCUCGGUCUUAACUAGGAAUGCCUUGUACGGGUCAUUGAUUCAACAGACCACCCGGAAUACGUCCCUGCCCUUUGUACACACCGCCCGUCGCUCUUACCGAUGAACUUCGCUAUGAAUCUAUUGGACUGUACCAUUGUGGUAUGGAAAGAUAUAUGAAUAGUGUGGUUUAAAGGAAAGAGAAGUCGUAACAAGGCA